RNAcentral lists this microRNA precursor (103 nucleotides) under Marmota monax (woodchuck). The record is from RNAcentral. Lineage: Eukaryota; Metazoa; Chordata; Mammalia; Rodentia; Sciuridae.
AGUGGAAUAACUGGGUCAAAUGGUGGGACCAUUCCAAGUUUUCUGAGGAAUCUCUCUACUGCUUUCCAGAGUGGCUGCACCAAUUUGCAGUCCCAUUAGCAAU